AGGCUUUAUGAUUUUGCAUCCAAGAAGUAUUUGGUCUCCAGGGAUGUUCUAUUUCAUGAAUCAGUUUUUCCUUUUAAACAUGCCUCUCCCUCUGCUCCUCCCUCUGCUUCUUCUUUUCCUUUUCUUCUCUCUGGAGAACAUGAUGAUAUCUCUGAUUCUCCCAUUCCACUUUCUCCUCCCUCUUCUGACACUCCUGUCCAGAUGCCUUCUCCUACUCCACUCAGUCCUGCUAUUUCCCCUCCUGUUUUGGAUCCUCCUCCUUCUGUACCUGCUCCCAAAAAGUCUAAUGACACCAUAAUCCUCCUUCCUAUCUUAAAGAUUAUGU
This 325-nucleotide long non-coding RNA is filed under the name Nicotiana benthamiana. RNAcentral describes it as "long non-coding RNA (NBEN_LNC027521)". The record is from RNAcentral. Lineage: Eukaryota; Viridiplantae; Streptophyta; Magnoliopsida; Solanales; Solanaceae.